Molecule: ribosomal RNA, 433 nt
Filed under: uncultured bacterium
Lineage: Bacteria
Description: partial 16S ribosomal RNA
Rfam family: Bacterial small subunit ribosomal RNA
Source: RNAcentral
AACGAACGCUGGCAGCAUGCCUAACACAUGCAAGUCGAACGAGACCUUCGGGUCUAGUGGCGCACGGGUGCGUAACGCGUGGGAACCUGCCCUUAGGUUCGGAAUAACUCCCCGAAAGGGGUGCUAAUACCGGAUAAUGUCUUCGGACCAAAGAUUUAUCGCCUUUGGAUGGGCCCGCGUUGGAUUAGCUAGUUGGUAGGGUAAAAGCCUACCAAGGCGACGAUCCAUAGCUGGUCUGAGAGGAUGAUCAGCCACACUGGGACUGAGACACGGCCCAGACUCCGACGGGAGGCAGCAGUGGGGAAUAUUGGACAAUGGGCGAAAGCCUGAUCCAGCAAUGCCGCGUGAGUGAUGAAGGCCUUAGGGUUGUAAAGCUCUUUUACCCGGGAUGAUAAUGACAGUACCGGGAGAAUAAGCUCCGGCUAACUCCGUG